GUAGUCUGCAACUCGACUACAUGAAGCCGGAAUCGCUAGUAAUCGCGGAUCAGAAUGCCGCGGUGAAUACGUUCCCGGGCCUUGUACACACCGCCCGUCACACCAUGAGAGUUGGCAAUACCCAACGUACGUGAUCUAACCCGCAAGGGAGGAAGCGUCCUAAGGUAGGGUCAGCGAUUGGGGUGAAGUCGUAACAAGGUAUC
Molecule: ribosomal RNA, 203 nt
Filed under: uncultured bacterium
Lineage: Bacteria
Description: partial 16S ribosomal RNA
Rfam family: Bacterial small subunit ribosomal RNA
Source: RNAcentral